RNAcentral lists this small RNA (1013 nucleotides) under Pan troglodytes (chimpanzee). RNAcentral's name for it is "processed transcript". The record is from RNAcentral. Lineage: Eukaryota; Metazoa; Chordata; Mammalia; Primates; Hominidae.
GGCGUCUACACUGGGUGACCCAUGUCUACACUGUGAGUCCUAAGCGGGUGCCCCUCUCUGUCGCCCUCCCGCAGCCAUCAAGUUCUCUGGAGACCUUCUUCGACUCCCUGGUGACACAAGCAAACAUCCCCAACGUUUUCUCCAUGCAGAUGUGUGGAGCUGGAUUGCCCGUUGCUGGAUCUGGGACCAACGGAGGUAGUCUUGUCUUGGGUGGAAUUGAACCAAGUUUGUAUAAAGGAGACAUCUGGUAUACCCCUAUUAAGGAAGAGUGGUACUACCAGAUAGAAAUUCUGAAAUUGGAAAUUGGAGGCCAAAGCCUUAAUCUGGACUGCAGAGAGUAUAACGCAGACAAGGCCAUCGUGGACAGUGGCACCACGCUGCUGCGUCUGCCCCAGAAGGUGUUUGAUGCAGUGGUGGAAGCUGUGGCCCGCGCAUCUCUGAUUCCAGAAUUCUCUGAUGGUUUCUGGACUGGGUCCCAGCUGGCGUGCUGGACGAAUUCGGAAACACCUUGGUCUUACUUCCCUAAAAUCUCCAUCUACCUGAGAGACGAGAACUCCAGCAGGUCAUUCCGUAUCACAAUCCUGCCUCAGCUUUACAUUCAGCCCAUGAUGGGGGCCGGCCUGAAUUAUGAAUGUUACCGAUUCGGCAUUUCCCCAUCCACAAACGCGCUGGUGAUCGGUGCCACGGUGAUGGAGGGCUUCUAUGUCAUCUUCGACAGAGCCCAGAAGAGGGUGGGCUUCGCAGCGAGCCCCUGUGCAGAAAUUGCAGGUGCUGCAGUGUCUGAAAUUUCCGGGCCUUUCUCAACAGAGGAUGUAGCCAGCAACUGUGUCCCCGCUCAGUCUUUGAGCGAGCCCAUUUUGUGGAUUGUGUCCUAUGCGCUCAUGAGCGUCUGUGGAGCCAUCCUCCUUGUCUUAAUCGUCCUGCUGCUGCUGCCGUUCCGGUGUCAGCGUCGCCCCCGUGACCCUGAGGUCGUCAAUGAUGAGUCCUCUCUGGUCAGACAUCGCUGGAAAUGA